UUUUCUGUUUCAUGUCAUUAAGUCAGAGAGAUGCUAAUAUGACGACUGGGUCGUUUCGACGGAUAGAGGGACAGGGAAUAUGUCGAUUGACAGUUGGGUUUUUCAGAAAGAAUUCAAUACAUUUUCUCUCAACCAAUUUCAAAAUCAUUCGACAUAUUCCCUCUAUCUGUCGAAACGACCCAGUCGUCAUAUUAGCAUCUCUCUGAGUU
This is a long non-coding RNA of Bradysia coprophila, 209 nucleotides long. The record is from RefSeq and is a predicted model, not a curated record. NCBI's taxonomy places the organism in Eukaryota, Metazoa, Arthropoda, Insecta, Diptera, Sciaridae.